GAUCCGGUAGGCGGGACGGUCGGACGGGCCGCCAUCGAUGCGGCGCGGUUCGUCACACAGGCCGAUGCCGGAUCAUUCUGGCGCGGCUCCCC
Molecule: transfer RNA, 92 nt
Filed under: Pseudooceanicola nanhaiensis
Lineage: Bacteria; Pseudomonadati; Pseudomonadota; Alphaproteobacteria; Rhodobacterales; Paracoccaceae
Description: tRNA-Arg
Source: RNAcentral